This 397-nucleotide ribosomal RNA is filed under the name uncultured bacterium. Its description in RNAcentral is "partial 16S ribosomal RNA". It matches the Rfam family "Bacterial small subunit ribosomal RNA", at positions 523 to 918 of the family's 1533-position model. The record is from RNAcentral.
AUACGUAGGGGGCGAGCGUUGUCCGGAAUGAUUGGGCGUAAAGGGCGCGUAGGCGGCCCGGUAAGUCUGGAGUGAAAGUCCUGUUUUUAAGAUGGGAAUUGCUUUGGAUACUGUCGGGCUUGAGUGCAGGAGAGGUAAGUGGAAUUCCCAGUGUAGCGGUGAAAUGCGUAGAGAUUGGGAGGAACACCAGUGGCGAAGGCGACUUACUGGACUGUAACUGACGCUGAGGCGCGAAAGUGUGGGGAGCAAACAGGAUUAGAUACCCUGGUAGUCCACACUGUAAACGAUGAAUGCUAGGUGUAGGGGGUAUCGACCCCUUCUGUGCCGCAGUCAACACAAUAAGCAUUCCGCCUGGGGAGUACGUUCGCAAGAAUGAAACUCAAAUGAAUUGACGGGG